UUGCACAGUGAAUACCCAAGUGUGCUUUAUAGUUUCCUUGGCUUUGACCCUGUGCUAGAGCAUUACCUGUUGUUCUCCUCUGCAUUGAAAGGAAUAUUUAUCCUUUUAAAUGUAUUCUGAAAGCCAGCACAUUA
This 134-nucleotide small nucleolar RNA is filed under the name Macaca nemestrina (pig-tailed macaque). RNAcentral describes it as "Small nucleolar RNA SNORA22 (ENSMNEG00000006832.1)". It matches the Rfam family "Small nucleolar RNA SNORA22". Rfam says of the family: ACA22 is a member of the H/ACA class of snoRNA that guide the sites of modification of uridines to pseudouridines. Lineage: Eukaryota; Metazoa; Chordata; Mammalia; Primates; Cercopithecidae. The record is from Rfam by way of RNAcentral.